RNAcentral lists this ribosomal RNA (492 nucleotides) under uncultured bacterium. Its description in RNAcentral is "partial 16S ribosomal RNA". It matches the Rfam family "Bacterial small subunit ribosomal RNA", at positions 29 to 507 of the family's 1533-position model. The record is from RNAcentral.
AGUGAACGCUGGCGGUAGGCCUAACACAUGCAAGUCGAACGGCAGCACAGUAUGAGCUUGCUCUUACGGGUGGCGAGUGGCGGACGGGUGAGGAAUACAUCGGAAUCUACUUUUUCGUGGGGGAUAACGUAGGGAAACUUACGCUAAUAUCGCAUACGACCUACGGGUGAAAGCAGGGGAUCUUCGGACCUUGCGCGAUUGAAUGAGCCGAUGUCGGAUUAGCUAGUUGGCGGGGUAAAGGCCCACCAAGGCGACGAUCCGUAGCUGGUCUGAGAGGAUGAUCAGCCACACUGGAACUGAGACACGGUCCAGACUCCUACGGGAGGCAGCAGUGGGGAAUAUUGGACAAUGGGCGCAAGCCUGAUCCAGCCAUACCGCGUGGGUGAAGAAGGCCUUCGGGUUGUAAAGCCCUUUUGUUGGGAAAGAAAAGCAGCAGGUUAAUACCCCGCUGUUCUGACGGUACCCAAAGAAUAAGCACCGGCUAACUUCGUG